GAAACACGGACCAAGGAGUCUAACAUGUGCGCGAGUCACUGGGUCCUGCGAAACCCAAAGGCGCAAUGAAACGUGAAGACCGCUUCGGCGGUUGAGUUGCGAUCCUUCCGCUGAAGGGGAGGCGCAGCAACGGCCCGCCCUGAACGCUUACGUCGUAGGGGCGGCGCUAGAGCGCACACGUUGGCACCCGAAAGAUGGUGAACUAUGCCCGGGCAGGACGAGGUCAGAGGAAACUCUGGUGGAGGUCCGAAGCGAUUCUGACGUGCAAAUCGAUCGUCCGACCUGGGUAUAGGGGCGAAAGACUAAUCGAACCAUC
Molecule: ribosomal RNA, 316 nt
Filed under: Sternothyrus braueri
Lineage: Eukaryota; Metazoa; Arthropoda; Arachnida; Holothyrida; Holothyridae
Description: eukaryotic LSU rRNA
Rfam family: Eukaryotic large subunit ribosomal RNA
Source: RNAcentral